Molecule: ribosomal RNA, 229 nt
Filed under: uncultured bacterium
Lineage: Bacteria
Description: partial 16S ribosomal RNA
Rfam family: Bacterial small subunit ribosomal RNA
Source: RNAcentral
UCCGUAGGUGGAUAAUUAAGUCAGAGGUGAAAGUUUGCAGCUCAACUGUAAAAUUGCCUUUGAUACUGGUUAUCUUGAGUUAUUGUGAAGUAGUUAGAAUAUGUAGUGUAGCGGUAAAAUGCAUAGAUAUUACAUAGAAUACCAAUUGCGAAGGCAGAUUACUAACAAUAUACUGACACUGAUGGACGAAAGCGUGGGUAGCGAACAGGAUUAGAUACCCUGGUAGUCC